AAACAAGCUCUUGGCAUCUGUGAGAAUCUAAGAGAAAUGAAGAUCAAUAUGCUUGGUUUAGAAGUCAAAUCCAAGUUCAAUGGCGUUCCCAUCUACAUCUGUAAAGCGAUGCGCAUUAAACAAAGGUAUCAAGAUAAGGGUGGUUUGAAGGCCAGAGUAGGACGCAUGCAAGACACCCUUGAGGGAGAGGUGAGGGCAACGAGAAUGCAAGGCACUUCUAAACUUUUCUGUUUUUUUUUUUUUUAUUCAAAGCACUGGAGGCUAGGUGAAGUGUCACCUCUCAUUCGUCCAUGAUCUUUGCCAUCCGCUGCCUACUGGCCUCGAUCUGUUCUAGCUCUUUUUCACUUCAACCACUUCUAACGGACAGAGAUUAACUUACCAGUCAUGUUACGAUGACUUAUUAUAUUAUUUUCAGAUUGUUUUCUCGUCUUUUUUCUAGAAAUUAACUUUAAGGCCUUUGUAUUGUCUUUUUUACAUUAAAUAUAUAGCUACUUCUUGCUUAUCUUUGUAAACUGUACGUAUAUAAGUCAAUACAAAUUAUGGGACUGGAAUCAUAAUUAGGUUAUAUUUUCUGA
This is a long non-coding RNA of Juglans microcarpa x Juglans regia, 575 nucleotides long. RefSeq lists it as uncharacterized. The record is from RefSeq and is a predicted model, not a curated record. NCBI's taxonomy places the organism in Eukaryota, Viridiplantae, Streptophyta, Magnoliopsida, Fagales, Juglandaceae. The transcript is spliced from 2 exons.